Molecule: transfer RNA, 74 nt
Filed under: Alosa alosa (allis shad)
Lineage: Eukaryota; Metazoa; Chordata; Actinopteri; Clupeiformes; Clupeidae
Description: tRNA-Met
Rfam family: tRNA
About the family: Transfer RNA (tRNA) molecules are approximately 80 nucleotides in length. Their secondary structure includes four short double-helical elements and three loops (D, anti-codon, and T loops).
Source: RNAcentral
GCUCCAGUGGCGCAAUUGGUUAGCGCGCGAUACUCAUAAUGCCGAGGUUGUGGGUUCGAGCCUCACCUGGUGCA